AAUAUUGCGCAAUGGUGGAAACCCUGAUUCAGCUAUGCCGCGUGGAGGAAGCAGGCCUUCGGGUCGUAAACUCCUGUCUGUUGGGACGAAAAUGACUGUACCAACGGUGGAUGCCACGGCUAUCUAUGUGCCAGCAGCUGCGGUAAUACGUAGGUGGCGAGCGUUGUCCGGAAUUACUGGGCGUAAAGGGUGCGCAGGCGUACUAUUAAGUGGGAUGUGAAAACCCAAGGCUUAAACAUGGGACUGCAUUCCAAACUGAUAGUCUUGAGUGCAGGAGAGGAAAGCGGAAUUCCACGUGUAGCGGUGAAAUGCGUAGAGAUGUGGAAGAACACCAGUGGCGAAGGCGGCUUUCUGGACUGUAACUGACGCUGAGGCACGAAAGCGUGGGGAGCAAACAGG
This 399-nucleotide ribosomal RNA is filed under the name uncultured bacterium. Its description in RNAcentral is "partial 16S ribosomal RNA". It matches the Rfam family "Bacterial small subunit ribosomal RNA", at positions 360 to 776 of the family's 1533-position model. The record is from RNAcentral.